GUUUGAUCAUGGCUCAGGGUGAAUGCUGGCGGCGUGGAUAAGGCAUGCAAGUCGAGUGGGUUUAGACCCACGGCAGACGAGGUAGUAACACGUAGGAACGUACCCCGAAGUCAGGAAUAUUCCGUCGAAAGACGGCGCAAUACCUGAUGGUCUCUAAGGAGUAAAGAUUUAUCGCUUCGGGAGCGGCCUGCGCAGUAUCAGCUAGUUGGUAGGGUAACGGCCUACCUAGGCAAUGACGCUUAGGGGAGCUGAGAGGCUGACCCCCACCGAUGGAACUGAGAUACGGUCCUUACUCCUACGGGAGGCCGCAGUCGAGAAUCUUCCGCAAUGGACGCAAGUCUGACGGAGCGACGCCGCGUGGUGGAUGAAGUCCCUCUGGGACGUAAACACCUUUUAUGAGGGAUGACAUUUCGACAGUACCUCAUGAAUAAGGGGCUCCUAACUCUGUGCCAGCAGGAGCGGUAAUACAGAGGCCCCAAGCAUUACCCGGAAUCACUGGGCGUAAAGGGUGCGUAGGUGGCGUGAUUAGUCCUACUUUAAAUCUUCCGUGCUCAACGCGGAAGCUCGGUGGGAAACGGUCAUGCUUGAGGAUGUAAGAGGUGUGUGGAACUCACGGUGUAGGGGUGAAAUCCGUUGAUAUCGUGGGGAACACCGAAUGCGAAGGCAGCACACUGGGACAUUCCUGACACUGAGGCACGAAAGCGUGGGAAGCGAAAAGGAUUAGAUACCCUGGUAGUCCACGCCCUAAACGAUGGGUACUAGACGUCGGGAAGUUUAUCUUCUUGGUGUCGCAGCUAACGCAAUAAGUACCCCGCCUGGGGAGUACGGUCGCAAGAUUAAAACUCAAAUGAAUUGACGGAAG
RNAcentral lists this ribosomal RNA (862 nucleotides) under uncultured bacterium. Its description in RNAcentral is "bacterial SSU rRNA". It matches the Rfam family "Bacterial small subunit ribosomal RNA", at positions 11 to 919 of the family's 1533-position model. The record is from RNAcentral.